RNAcentral lists this ribosomal RNA (253 nucleotides) under uncultured bacterium. RNAcentral's name for it is "partial 16S ribosomal RNA". It matches the Rfam family "Bacterial small subunit ribosomal RNA", at positions 524 to 776 of the family's 1533-position model. The record is from RNAcentral.
UACGUAGGGAGCAAGCGUUGUCCGGAAUCAUUGGGCGUAAAGCGCGCGUAGGUGGCCCCGUAAGUCCGCUGUGAAAGUCAAAGGCUCAACCUUUGAAAGCCGGUGGAUACUGUGGGACUAGAGUACGGAAGAGGCGAGUGGAAUUCCUGGUGUAGCGGUGAAAUGCGCAGAUAUCAGGAGGAACACCGAUGGCGAAGGCAGCUCGCUGGGACGGUACUGACGCUGAGGCGCGAAAGCGUGGGGAGCAAACAGG